RNA transcript from Oncorhynchus masou masou (cherry salmon), 4684 nucleotides. It is a transcript of the gene named nectin-3-like, with no coding region annotated. The transcript has 12 exons. NCBI's taxonomy places the organism in Eukaryota, Metazoa, Chordata, Actinopteri, Salmoniformes, Salmonidae. The record is from RefSeq and is a predicted model, not a curated record.
CAGAACAAGUGGACGAAAUUAUAAAUUAAAUUAUUUUAAAUUGGGAGGGUGUCCGUAUGGGGAUUACAUGAUAACCGACUUGGGACAGUUCUGGGAUUGGAGAAGAGGGUAUCCUUAUAGCAUAGGGGAUCCCACAAAGGUGGAUAGGUUUUCCAUGAUAUGGGGGAAACCUGGGAGCACUGUUGAACUUUGUAAAGGUGAUGAAAUCCUACUAACCAUCAAAACUAUUAAGCUCUCUGAUGCAGGCACUUACACCCUCAGACUACAAAGGACCGGGACAGACACGAUGGGUGUGUUUUCUAUUAAGGUGCUGCCAAAACCAGAGGUCCCAGACGAACCGGGGCCAGACACACUCCUCUACCACCCCUGGACCGAACCUGCCACCACUGUGUUAAAAAUCCCAUUCAGGUAAUUCAUGUUAGAGACUAUUCAGCUAUUGAUCAAUUAGGCACAGAGACUGGUUUUGAUGGUAGGGACAAUUUGUGGCUGUCGUAUAUGAGGUAUACAGCUAAGACCCUGAAAAGAAAGGACUGCAUGAGUUACAUGAAACAUUGGUCAUGCUAGACCUGUUCUGGCUACGCACCCAUCUGCUAUAGGAGAACGAGAGGGGUGGUUGUGUAUUCUGAGAGGUUUUUACCAGGUUCAGCCCAAUUCAACUCUCUGUUCCUCUUUGAGCCUUGUGUUUCCUACAGUACCUCCUCAUCGGGCCCCUUUGGGUGUUAAGGCAUAUGGGGGCAAUUACAGUUGCAUCAUGGGUACAGGUAAUGGCAUUGAUUAUGGGAGAUUGCCUGAAGCUGAUUGCAGUAGUAACAUAACCAUUAAUUCCACUUGGCCAGUUACAGGCCUAAACCAAACUAGUGGUCUGGCUGAUGUGUGGUGGAUCUGUGGACCCAAAAGAGUGCUGAGACCCAUUCUUAGAGGAGACUGGCAAGGUAUGUGUGCUCUGACCAGUUUGAUAAUUCCACUGACCAUUGUUGAUGUUACUGCUGAGCAGCUGUUGGGUUCUGUAUCCAGGGGACCUGAAAACAUUCCAUCCCAUGGGAGACAUAGACGUAGUGCUCCAUGGACAGAGGAUGUAGUUGACAUACACACUAACCUGUUGGGAGUGCCAGUGGGGGUUCCUCAUGAGUUUCAGGCCUUGGGUAGGAAUGAUGGACUCUGGCACUUACUACCUAUUAUAGGUCCAGUGGAUGCAAGACAGACUGCAUGGAUUAAUUAUAUCUACUAUAAUCAACAGGGUUUUGUGAAUUACUCCCGUGAUGCACUCACUGGUCUGUCUGAACAGCUUGAGGCCACAUCUAGGGUUGCCAGACAGAGUAGACUUGCUUUGGAUAUGCUUCUUGCCAGUCAGGGGGGCGGCUGCAAGAUGUUCAGUGAACAAUGUUGCACGUAUAUUCCUAAUAACACCAGUCCAGAUGGUAGUAUAUCUAAGGCCCUUAGUGGGCUUGAUGCACUAUCUGCUGAGAUGAGGACCAUGGCGGGGGUGGAGGAGUCUGGACUGUUCUCUUGGUUGGGAGCCUGUUUUGGUAAGUACACUGGUAUGGUGGUUACUGGAUUUCUGACCCUAAUUCUUGUAUUUUUGUUAUUGAUGUGUUGUGCUGCUUGCAUCAUACCGUGUUUAAAGAAGUCUGUUACAGAUGUGGUGAAGGCUUCAGGCAUGAUGCCUUUGCUUGAUGCUCCAGUUGGAGAUGCUGAUACUGAAGCAUGCUUUCAGGGGAGGAUGAGACUGACUGAGGAUGACCCAUGGUUUGGAGUCCCUGGGUGGCAUGGUGCCCACCUGGUGCAGGAUAGGAGUAGCUGAGAGGACCAGAUGGUUUAUAAUAAUGCUUUGCUCUGCUUUACGCUGUUUUCCAUGACUAAAGUUUUAUGUCAAUAAACAAUAGUCUUAUCCUGUUUUUGUCAACAGGGGGAGACAUAAGCAUAUAUCACUUGAUUUUUAUUUUUUCUUGGUUGAUUUUUCUUUUCUGUUUUUCUGUAAAAAAAUCAAUAAAAAUAAAAAUAAUAAUAUUUUAUUAAUAAUAAACCUUUUGUUAUUUUCAUGAAAUGCUAUUAACACAUUACUAUGUUGGGACCGCUGAAAUAAGGGUAAUGAGUGACACCCUGGCGGGUGUCAACAGGGGGAUUGUUGGAUCCUGAUUUUACAUUAUAGCCAUUACCAUAUAUAUGAUUGAAUAUUAUCUGCUGUUGGCUUGUGUGGAUGUAUGUAUGUGUUAUGCAACAUAGCUGACUUGAAACAUUGUUAAAAGUAUCAGGGCCAUGGGACUUUCUCAUGGUGGAAAAAUACAGAGAAGCAUGAAGACAGGAACUGUUCAAAUUAGUUGGGAGGGGGGCACAUUCAGAGCGGGGUGUUGCGAGAACAAGCGGUCUUUUGUUAGAUAACAGGAGGCAGGUGUGAGAUAACGGUAUGGAGCAUGAGAGCCUGGAUGUUCUUCACAUCUAUCAACAGAAGCGCCAAGACGCGGGGCCCGCCUGGGCGCCUGCAAUGGACUGGACAAGUUUAAACCACGCCCAGUCUCUACUGUGAUAGACAGUUCCAACCCGUCUAUCACAGUAUAAAGAAUACUGUUUUACAUACGUCUUGUCAGUUCUCUGUUCUGCCCUGCGUGGUAUUACAGAGAGCCCGAAUAUACGAAAGUUGCAUUUGCCAUUUAUUACUUAGCUAAUAAAAAAUGCAUAGUAUAAAAUCGGUGACUCAUUGUUAUAUUUAUCCUGAUACCAGAUUUGAAUUUACGCAACUCUAACACAACCUUGUUAUUUACGAAGUUUUUGGACCGGAUUCCUGUUGGAACGUUCCACAAAUUAUACCCACCCAAAACAACAUUUACGAGACAGACCUCACCUUGAAGAAGGAUUGUUUUUGCGAUGGACAAACAUUACAAAUACACUUCGUGUGACCCUUGCAAUGAGAAGAGCAAAGCAUGUCACGGAAGCUGUUCUAUGCUGUGUGAUUCUACUCGUCAUCCACAGGAGUUCAGAAAGUAUACGGGUGAUUGGAGGAAGCAUGACUGCUGUACAGGGAGAGGACGUGGACUUAUCCUGCAGACUGCUUCCUGUUGGAAGGUUCCACAAAUUAUACCCACCCAAAACAACAUUUACGAGACAGACCUCACCUUGAAGAAGGAUUGUUUUUGCGAUGGACAAACAUUACAAAUAAUCUUCGUGGUGGUAACACAACAAAAUGUGGAAAAAGUCCAGGGUUGUGAAUCUUUUCUGAAGGCACUUUUAUACGUGACCCUUGCAAUGAGAAGAGCAAAGCAUGUCACGGAAGCUGUUCUAUGCUGUGUGAUUCUACUCGUCAUCCACAGGAGUUCAGAAAGUAUACAGGUGAUUGGAGGAAGCAGGACUGUGGUACAGGGAGAGGACGUGGACCUAUCCUGCAGACUGCUAGAGACAGAUGAGGAGCUUGAACAGAUAACAUGGCAGAAAAGGACUCUGGAAGAACCAGAGAACCAUAAUUUCUUGCUUAUUUAUCCCAGUGGGGUUACUAACUUUAUUUCAUCGAAUGGAUUGGAAAAUAGAGUCCAGUUUUUUGGGAACCCGACAGAAAACAUUGGUUCUAUUCGCAUAACUGCUGCCAGACUGUUGGAUGAAGGCACCUUCACAUGCGUCUUCAGUGUCUUCCCAAGUGGAGUAUACAGUAUAGAGAUACCUCUUACGGUUCUAGUACCUCCAGUGAUGAGUGUUACAGUCGAUGUCCCUCCUGUCAUUGGAGAGAAUGAGGUUGUCUUGGCAUCCUGUUUGGCUGCUGGUGCCAAGCCACAGGCAGAAGUGAGGUGGAACACUGAUGCAUUCGGCAGUUUGGUGAGGACGGUGACCAACUCCACCCAGCACGCCAACAGCACCACCACGGUUGUUAGCCACCUGCUCGGGGUGCCAACCAGAGCAGCCAAUCAGCAGCAUGUUCAGUGUGUGGUCAACCAGUCUGCCCUGGCAACAGAGAGGACCCUGGCCUACACAAUCAACAUCAACUAUCCACCUCAGACAGUGAACAUUACUCUUAGUGAGGCCACCCCAGCCACAGUGUUCCUAUGUGUAGCAGACAGCAACCCAAAAGCCAUCUACACCUGGACCAGAUACCUCUGCUGCCUGUUGGGUUCUACUUGUCAUUAUAUUUCUGAUUGUUGCUGCUGCUGCUGCUGGACUCGUAUGGUACCGGUGGAAAAAUGGAAAAUGUCUUUGGAGUUCAUUCAUGGGCGAUCACCAGUUCGAGGCACAAUCACAGGUUGAGGAAGAGGAAGUUGGGAUGGAAACCAUGAGGGCAGAUGAGGAAGAAGUAUCAUAAGGCUUCAAGGCAUCUCCAUGUUAGCAUCACCUACUGGUAUGGCUACUGCUCAGCAACCACAAAGCGCUUCAGAGGGUAGUGCGUACGGACCACUACAUCACUGGGCCUAAGCUUUCUCCCAUCCAGGACUGAUAUACCAGACGGUGUCAGAGGAAGGCCCUAAAAAUUCUGACUCCAUCCAUCCCAGACAUAGUCUGUUCUCUCUGCUACCGCACGGCAAGCUGUACCAGACCACAAGUAUAGGUCCAAAAGACUCCUUAACAGCUUCUAUACAAAUCCAUAAGACUGUUGAACAGUUAAUCAAAUGGCUACCCAGACUAUUUUGUAUUGACCACCCCCCUCCUUUUUUUACACUUCAACAAGUUACUGAGUAAAGGUAAAUAAAGAUAAAUGUAAAUGUGA